GACGAACGCUGGCGGCGUGCUUAACACAUGCAAGUCGAACGGAAAGGCCCUGCUUGCAGGGUACUCGAGUGGCGAACGGGUGAGUAACACGUGGGUGAUCUGCCCUGCACUUCGGGAUAAGCCUGGGAAACUGGGUCUAAUACCGGAUAGGAGCCAUUUUUAGUGUGAUGGUUGGAAAGUUUUUUCGGUGUAGGAUGAGCUCGCGGCCUAUCAGCUUGUUGGUGGGGUAAUGGCCUACCAAGGCGGCGACGGGUAGCCGGCCUGAGAGGGUGGACGGCCACAUUGGGACUGAGAUACGGCCCAGACUCCGACGGGAGGCAGCAGUGGGGAAUAUUGCACAAGGGGCGCAAGCCGGAUGCAGCGACGCCGCGUGGGGGAUGACGGCCUUCGGGUUGUAAACUCAUUUCGCUAGGGACGAAGCUUUUUGUGACGGUACCUAGAUAAGAAGCACCGGCUAACUACGUG
RNAcentral lists this ribosomal RNA (465 nucleotides) under uncultured bacterium. RNAcentral's name for it is "partial 16S ribosomal RNA". It matches the Rfam family "Bacterial small subunit ribosomal RNA", at positions 28 to 507 of the family's 1533-position model. The record is from RNAcentral.